RNAcentral lists this long non-coding RNA (252 nucleotides) under Mytilus galloprovincialis (Mediterranean mussel). Lineage: Eukaryota; Metazoa; Mollusca; Bivalvia; Mytilida; Mytilidae. The record is from RNAcentral.
GCCGAUAUUUUCUUUCAUUUGCGCCGAUUUUUUUACAGGUAAAUUACAAGUGAAUAGAUAUAAGAAGAUGUGAUAUGAGUGCCAAUGAGAGAACUCUCCAUCCAAGUCAUGUUAUUUUUCAUUUAACAUUAUAGACCUCUUCCAUAAUUAGCCACUUGUACAAAUUUAUGAAUUGUCAAUCAUAACAUGUAUAUAACUGUUGUCCCCUGCUCACAGUGGGGAGGUGGAAGAAGGCCUACAAGAUACAUCUCC